This 399-nucleotide ribosomal RNA is filed under the name Triticum aestivum (bread wheat). RNAcentral describes it as "partial small subunit ribosomal RNA". Lineage: Eukaryota; Viridiplantae; Streptophyta; Magnoliopsida; Poales; Poaceae. The record is from RNAcentral.
AUGACAAAGGAAAGUUCAUUGUUGGCGGGAAUCGGAAGAUUGAUUGGUGUGUUGAUCGUUCUGACAGCAAAAGUUCUGGCUCUUAGAUCUGGCUUAUCUCUUGCACAAAAGGUAGGAUGCAAUCAAAUUGUUAUCAAUUCGGAUGACAUGGAAGUCAUUGAUACAAUGAAGAAUGAAGGAAGGUCUGCGGGAGUGGCAGCGGCAAUUUUGGAUGAUUGUUAUUUUCUGGCUUGCGAUUUUUCUCUUGCUAGCUUUGAACAUUGUAAUAGGAAGGCAAAUAAGGUUGCUCAUGAACUUGCUAGGUUAGCAAAAUUAUCAGCUAGUAGAGACUAGAUGGAGAAGCCUCUCGAUGAGAUUGUACCUUUAAUUAUAGAGGAUGUAACUGUUAUUUCCAAUUAA